GUGAACAUAAUUUAAACAAAAUUCUAGUCUGUGACUCUAGUAAUGGGAACUAAUCAUUCCCUGUCCACC
RNAcentral lists this transfer RNA (69 nucleotides) under Anomaloglossus kaiei (Kaie rock frog). RNAcentral's name for it is "tRNA-His". Lineage: Eukaryota; Metazoa; Chordata; Amphibia; Anura; Aromobatidae. The record is from RNAcentral.